Molecule: ribosomal RNA, 497 nt
Filed under: uncultured bacterium
Lineage: Bacteria
Description: partial 16S ribosomal RNA
Rfam family: Bacterial small subunit ribosomal RNA
Source: RNAcentral
GAUGAACGCUGGCGGCGUGCCUAAUACAUGCGAGUCGAGCGAACAGACGAGGAGCUUGCUCCUUUGACGUUAGCGGCGGACGGGUGAGUAACACGUGGAUAACCUACCUAUAAGACUGGGAUAACUUCGGGAAACCGGAGCUAAUACCGGAUAACAUGUUGAACCGCAUGGUUCAACAGUGAAAGACGGUCUUGCUGUCACUUAUAGAUGGAUCCGCGCCGCAUUAGCUAGUUGGUAAGGUAACGGCUUACCAAGGCAACGAUGCGUAGCCGACCUGAGAGGGUGAUCGGCCACACUGGAACUGAGACACGGUCCAGACUCCUACGGGAGGCAGCAGUAGGGAAUCUUCCGCAAUGGGCGAAAGCCUGACGGAGCAACGCCGCGCGAGUGAAGAAGGUCUUCGGAUCGUAAAACUCUGUUAUUAGGGAAGAACAAAUGUGUAAGUAACUAUGCACGUCUUGACGGUACCUAAUCAGAAAGCCACGGCUAACUACGUG